UGGAUACAAAGGGAAAGCCUUAUUAAAUUCAGUAAAUGCAAAAGAAUGAAGAUGGUCCCUCAUCAUUGCAAAUAUGGUUACAUGAUGCUCAGUGGAUUAGGAAGAUCAACUUAAACAGGCAUGACAGAGCUGAUCCUUGUAGGUUCAAUGCCAAUCACCACUAGACAGAAUGAGUGCAUCUAUCAGGAGAUUGAAGAUCAGGAGCUGAGAACUGCAGUAACGUCCACACUCACCAC
Molecule: long non-coding RNA, 236 nt
Organism: Electrophorus electricus (electric eel)
Lineage: Eukaryota; Metazoa; Chordata; Actinopteri; Gymnotiformes; Gymnotidae
Source: RefSeq, a predicted model, not a curated record